Molecule: transfer RNA, 84 nt
Filed under: Actinomycetota bacterium
Lineage: Bacteria; Bacillati; Actinomycetota
Description: tRNA-Leu
Rfam family: tRNA
About the family: Transfer RNA (tRNA) molecules are approximately 80 nucleotides in length. Their secondary structure includes four short double-helical elements and three loops (D, anti-codon, and T loops).
Source: RNAcentral
GCCCCCGUGGAGAAACCGGCAUACUCGCGCCACUCAAAAUGGCGUGCCCGAGAGGGCGUGUGGGUUCGAAUCCCACCGGGGGUA